AUGGCCUGGUCCCAUUUCCUGCUCACCCCCUUUAUUCACUGCACAGGGCCUUGGGUCCCAUCUGCGCUGAUUCAGUCACCCUCAGUCCCUGGGGCUCUGGGCCAGAGGGUCACCAUCUCCUGCACUGGAAGCAGCUCCACUUUGGUUAUUGGUGUGAUGUACACUGGUUCCAGCAGCUCCAAGGAAUGACCCCCAAACUCCUCAUCUAUAAAAACAAUUGGUGACACCUGUGGGUCCCUGACAAUUCUCUGGCUUCAAGUCUGGCAACUCCAUUUUUGUGACCAUCACUGUGCUACAGCCUGAAGAUGAGGCUGAUUAUCACUGCCAAUUCUACAAAAACAGCCUGAGUGCUUU
Non-coding RNA from Homo sapiens (human), 354 nucleotides. The record is from the annotation of a RefSeq genome assembly. NCBI's taxonomy places the organism in Eukaryota, Metazoa, Chordata, Mammalia, Primates, Hominidae.